Molecule: long non-coding RNA, 665 nt
Organism: Balaenoptera acutorostrata (minke whale)
Lineage: Eukaryota; Metazoa; Chordata; Mammalia; Artiodactyla; Balaenopteridae
Exons: 5
Source: RefSeq, a predicted model, not a curated record
GGCUGGGUCUCUCAGUCAACCGAGAAGCCAGCAAACAACCCCAGUGUGUCUGCCUGGAUGAGAAGGGGUGAAGACCUAGAAAGAAUGAGAUCCCCAGCAUUGCCGAGGCUGCUGAGAACCUGGACAUCCAAAUGGAGAUGGGAGGACCACACGGAAUUGAAACAUAAAGGCAGACCUCAUCUGGAAAGUAUGAUAUCAGAAAGGAGGCAAUGCUCGUGCCGCCCAUGGUUCAGAACUGCCUUUGCCAGUUAUAACGACAAGUGAAGUUUCAAGAAAGAACCACCUGGAAUCUGACCCCCAGUGCUAAUGCUGAACUGAUUCGGCAGUUACUUAAAUUCAAAGAGGCCACCCCAAGAGCACUCUUUCAGUUGGAGCAGAGCUACUAGAAAUCACACCAUGAGCGCUUACUGGCCAGGAGAUGGAUCAUCUAAGAUGUUCUCUGUGCCACGGAUCUUGGAGCUGCACCUGCCAUUCUGAUCAUAAAUACGUGUGUCUGUGUGGCAUGGGGGUCUGAGGUUGGCAAAUACAUAGCAACUGCCAUCUGCUAAAGCAGAAAAGAUUUGAAAAGUGGAAAAGGAGAGACACAGCAAUGAAGAUCUCAACUAGUGAAACAAACAGGCUCUUCUGGACAGCACUUCCUCCCUGACAUCACAGUUGUGACCUGC